Cronartium quercuum f. sp. fusiforme G11 is the source of this 99-nucleotide non-coding RNA. The record is from the annotation of a GenBank genome assembly. Lineage: Eukaryota; Fungi; Basidiomycota; Pucciniomycetes; Pucciniales; Coleosporiaceae.
AGCGAGAUGGCGCAGCUGGUAGCGCGCUGGGCUCAUAUGCGUCACGUGAUCUGACCAUAUGAAACCCAGAGGUCGUCGGAUCGAAACCGACUCUCGCUA